Rhineura floridana is the source of this 206-nucleotide long non-coding RNA. RefSeq lists it as uncharacterized. The transcript has 3 exons. The record is from RefSeq and is a predicted model, not a curated record. Lineage: Eukaryota; Metazoa; Chordata; Lepidosauria; Squamata; Rhineuridae.
GAUGCAUAAUGUUGGCAAAACUCUUGUUACUAUUUUUAGAAAUAUACCAACAGAAGAAAAUGAGAUUUUGACAUUUUGAACUGCCAAUGUAUCAGCCCUUAUCAAUGAGAGUAAUAUAUAAGGCCUUUAGCAUAUGCCUAAUAAGUCAGAAGACCACUGAAGAAGACUCUUUGUCAAAAUGCUUUUAGCUGCACUUUGUUUUUGUA